This is a long non-coding RNA of Erigeron canadensis, 281 nucleotides long. RefSeq lists it as uncharacterized. Lineage: Eukaryota; Viridiplantae; Streptophyta; Magnoliopsida; Asterales; Asteraceae. The record is from RefSeq and is a predicted model, not a curated record. The transcript is spliced from 3 exons.
GUCUGAUUAUUUUUUGUGCCUUUGCAGGAUUUGGUUGGUUGUUCAAAAAAAUUAUGGCACCUAUCACUUCCAAGCAAUCUGUUCGCUGUUCAAGAAGUUAAUGACCGGAUAACAUCAGUUCUAAUGGAAUGGUUGUUGGUUAUUAUGUGAUUGCUGGCUGGCCACCUGCUCCUGUACCGUCUAGCAAUAAGGUGUUUUGCUGCCUUGCGUGGUACAUAUAUUCACUAGUUAUUGCUAAUGGCUUAAUAAUGGCACUCUGCAGAUUGGAGAAAAUAUUGUUU